AGGGUUUGAUCAUGGCUCAGAAUCAACGCUGGCGGCGCGCUUAACACAUGCAAGUCGAACGGGAAAGUGGGCAACCAUGAGUACAGUGGCGUACGGGUGAGUAACACGUGGGUAAUCUACCUCUUAGUGGGGAAUAACCCUGGGAAACCGGGGCUAAUACCGCAUAAGCUCGAGAGAGGAAAGCAGCAAUGCGCUGAGAGAGGAGCCCGCGGCCGAUUAGCUAGUUGGCAGGGUAAGAGCCUACCAAGGCAGAGAUCGGUAGCCGGCCUGAGAGGGCACACGGCCACACUGGCACUGAAACACGGGCCAGACUCCUACGGGAGGCAGCAGUGGGGGAUCUUGCACAAUGGGGGCAACCCUGAUGCAGCGACGCCGCGUGAGCGAUGAAGCCCUUCGGGGUGUAAAGCUCUUUCGGCAGGGAAGAUAAUGACGGUACCUGCAGAAGCAGCUGCGGCUAACUACGUGCCAGCAGCCGCGGUAAUACGUAGGCAGCGAGCGUUGUUCGGAGUUACUGGGCGUAAAGGGUGUGUA
This 531-nucleotide ribosomal RNA is filed under the name uncultured bacterium. RNAcentral's name for it is "bacterial SSU rRNA". It matches the Rfam family "Bacterial small subunit ribosomal RNA", at positions 8 to 573 of the family's 1533-position model. The record is from RNAcentral.